Molecule: non-coding RNA, 105 nt
Organism: Cladobotryum mycophilum
Lineage: Eukaryota; Fungi; Ascomycota; Sordariomycetes; Hypocreales; Hypocreaceae
Source: the annotation of a GenBank genome assembly
UACCGGGCCCAGGAGUCGAACCUGGAACUGCGACCCCUAAAAGGGCUUAGGCUACUAAAAUAGCCCAAGUGUCAUCCGCUGUGUUAUCCAUUACACCAGCCCGGA